RNAcentral lists this ribosomal RNA (503 nucleotides) under uncultured Sphingobacteriales bacterium. RNAcentral describes it as "bacterial SSU rRNA". It matches the Rfam family "Bacterial small subunit ribosomal RNA", at positions 903 to 1382 of the family's 1533-position model. Lineage: Bacteria; Pseudomonadati; Bacteroidota; Sphingobacteriia; Sphingobacteriales. The record is from RNAcentral.
CGCCUUGCCAGCCCGCUCAGAACUUAAAGGAAUUGACGGGGGCCCGCACAAGCGGUGGAGCAUGUGGUUAAUUCGAUGAUACGCGAGGAACCUUACCUGGGCUCGAACGUAAGAUGACUGUAGGUGAAAGCUUACAUCUCUUCGGAGCAUUUUACGAGGUGCUGCAUGGUUGUCGUCAGCUCGUGCCGUGAGGUGUCGGGUUAAGUCCCAUAACGAGCGCAACCCCUACCUUUAGUUGCCAUCAGGUUAAGCUGGGGACUCUAAAGGAACUGCCUACGCAAGUAGUGAGGAAGGCGGGGAUGACGUCAAAUCAGCACGGCCCUUACGUCCAGGGCUACACACGUGCUACAAUGGCCGAUACAGAGGGCAGCUACCUGGUGACAGGAUGCAAAUCUCCAAAGUCGGUCUCAGUUCGGAUCGGAGUCUGCAACCCGACUCCGUGAAGUUGGAUUCGCUAGUAAUCGCGCAUCAGCCAUGGCGCGGUGAAUACGUUCCCGGGCCUU